CCUACGGGUGGCAGCAGUGAGGAAUAUUGGUCAAUGGACGGAAGUCUGAACCAGCCAUGCCGCGUGCAGGAAGACGGCUCUAUGAGUUGUAAACUGCUUUUGUACAAGGGUAAACCUGAAUACGUGUAUUCAGCUGAAAGUACUGUACUAAUAAGGAUCGGCUAACUCCGUGCCAGCAGCCGCGGUAAUCCGGGGGAUCCAAGCGUUAUCCGGAUUUAUUCGGUUUAAAGGGUGCGUAGGCGGAUUGAUAAGUUAGAGGUGAAAUGUCCGAGCUUAACUCGGGAACUGCAUCUAAUACUGUUGGUCGAGAGAGUAGGUGCGGUAGGCGGAAUGUAUGGUGUAGCGGUGAAAUGCUUAGAGAUCAUACAGAACACCGAUUGCGAAGGCAGCUUACCAAUCUAUAUCUGACGUUGAGGCACGAAAGCGUGGGGAGCGAACAGGAUUAGAUACCCUUGUAGUC
Molecule: ribosomal RNA, 460 nt
Filed under: uncultured bacterium
Lineage: Bacteria
Description: partial 16S ribosomal RNA
Rfam family: Bacterial small subunit ribosomal RNA
Source: RNAcentral